UAGGGAAUCUUCGGCAAUGGACGAAAGUCUGACCGAGCAACGCCGCGUGAGUGAAGAAGGUUUUCGGAUCGUAAAACUCUGUUGUUAGAGAAGAACAAGGACGUUAGUAACUGAACGUCCCCUGACGGUAUCUAACCAGAAAGCCACGGCUAACUACGUGCCAGCAGCCGCGGUAAUACGUAGGUGGCAAGCGUUGUCCGGAGUUAUUGGGCGUAAAGCGAGCGCAGGCGGUUUCUUAAGUCUGAUGUGAAAGCCCCCGGCUCAACCGGGGAGGGUCAUUGGAAACUGGGAGACUUGAGUGCAGAAGAGGUGAGUGGAAUUCCAUGUGUAGCGGUGAAAUGCGUAGAUAUAUGGAGGAACACCAGUGGCGAAGGCGGCUCUCUGGUCUGUAACUGACGCUGAGUCUCGAAAGCGUGGGGAGCAAACAGG
This 429-nucleotide ribosomal RNA is filed under the name Gemmatimonadota bacterium. RNAcentral's name for it is "Gemmatimonadetes bacterium partial 16S ribosomal RNA". It matches the Rfam family "Bacterial small subunit ribosomal RNA", at positions 355 to 776 of the family's 1533-position model. Lineage: Bacteria; Pseudomonadati; Gemmatimonadota. The record is from RNAcentral.